CGUGUGUGAAGAAGGCCUGAGGGUUGUAAAGCACUUUUAAUCGGGAGGAACACCUUCAUGCUAAUACCUGCAGUAUGACGUUACCGAUAGAAAAAGCACCGGCUAACUCCGUGCCAGCAGCCGCGGUAAUACGGAGGGUGCAUGCGUUAAUCGGAAUUACUGG
Molecule: ribosomal RNA, 163 nt
Filed under: uncultured Gammaproteobacteria bacterium
Lineage: Bacteria; Pseudomonadati; Pseudomonadota; Gammaproteobacteria
Description: partial 16S ribosomal RNA
Rfam family: Bacterial small subunit ribosomal RNA
Source: RNAcentral